Molecule: long non-coding RNA, 15024 nt
Filed under: Marmota monax (woodchuck)
Lineage: Eukaryota; Metazoa; Chordata; Mammalia; Rodentia; Sciuridae
Source: RNAcentral
CUGGCUGGUAUGGCUGUGCAGUUGGUGUCAGGACUUGGUUUCUUGGCAGAGUAACUAGUUGGAAGGUGCCUGGUCCUGGAGUUGGUGCAGCUUGCCCCACAGUCCUGGACCAUGGGUGCUUGUGUAAUCAUCUCAGAGAAGCUGUGGAUCUCCCUCUCAAAAGCCGCCGUUAUUUGGGUUAUAGGUCAGGUUAGAGACCCCAACUUGAGAUCCGGGACAUUCUUUCUGCUCUGUGAAGUCCUCCCAACCUGUCUCUCCAAAAUAUCUCCAAGGAAUGUGAUUCUGCCUCAGUGAAAGUGGUUCUGUGUCUCUGUAGGAGCAGACAAACCCUGGACAAGGCAAGCCCAGGAGCAGGAGCCUGUCUGCCCGAGAGCCAGCAAGGCCCCCUGACUUCAUCCUGGUGCUUUGUGAGUGUCUGCCGGCAAAUCCUGGGUGAUGGAGAGUGAUCCUGCUCCUUAUGGAGAGCAAAGACUCCAAAGCAGCACUGUCCAGGAGCAAGGUAAUGCAGAGCAUGUGUGUCAUUUCAAAUUCCCUACUAGCCACAUUAGGAAAAAAGAAGAAGAAGAAGAAGAAGAAGAAGAAGAAGAAGAAGAAGAAGAAGAAGAAGAAGAAGAAGCAGCAGCUAGUGAAAUUAAUUUUAGCCUUAGGUUUUAUUUAUAUCUACACAUCUGAAUAUUGCAAUUUUCCUUAGUAGUCAACAUAAAACUUAUAACUAAGAAUGUCUGACAUUCUUUCCCCCCGGCUGUCUUUGAAAUCUGGUAUUUUGCUCUUAGGGCACGUCUCAGUUUGAACCGUGUGCUUGCCGGUCACUGUGGUGAAUGGCUGCUGUCUUGGACAUGGCAUACACGGAGGGCCCAAGGCCCUGGAAGGGUGGGGAAGAUGAGGAUGGGCCUCAUGGGGGCUCAGCUGUGAGGCUGAGACAGGAAUCCUCCUUUGAAGCCAGGUUCACAGCACUCGCUGGGCACAGGGAUCUGUGAUUCGUGGGCUACGCUGUCUCUUGGUCACUGCUGAGCGACUUGGAUAUAGAAGGUGUGUUUGGGAAGAGCCGUGAAUAGAAACCAGGCUGUGGGUGCAUCUGUAGAGAUGCCCAAAGCCCACCCCCUGACCUGCCACCUCCACCUUAGUAUACAUAGGCUCCAUUUCUAAAGAGCAAGCCCCUCUCAACCUUUGCCCGGAGGUAUGGUGGCGUGGGGCGAAGAGGUAGGUCAGGAGCACCCAGGUCUGGCUUUUCACCUCUGCUGCCCGAGUGGCCCUGGCUAAGCCAUUUCAACUCUCUAUGCCUCAGUUUCCUCAGGAGGCCUCCAAGAGCAGCCUAGUGGGCACAGAACCAGCUCUUCAAAAGAGGCGAUUUGCAGCCUGGUGACGAUGAGGGGCUCAUGGACCAGCUCUGAUGACCUGGGUGCAGGGGGAAGGACACUGCAGGCUCCGUGGAGGCACCCAAGGGAGGACAUUAUUCCUGGACCAUUGCAGCAGCAGGGGUUUCCGUCCAAGGUACCUGGCCAGGAAAGGUUGGCCUUGGAGAAAGUGGCCUCAGAGCUUGAAGGAGGGAAGGGCGGCCACCACAGGGGCGGAGCAGAGGUGGUGUCAUCCAGAAGACAGCCGAGGAGGGGACCUUGCCUUUCCUCCUCUCAGGGAAGCCCCUGUGGUGCUCUGGAGUCUGCAGGGGGUUCUGAGUAAAUGGGGCACAAAACACUGCAGCAGCCCCCUCCCCCUCGCCCCCCAGGAGGGGGAAAGUCUCAGCCGUUACAUGGAUCCCUUGAGGGGAAGGGAAGCAAAGAAGGCCUGAAACCCCCUUCAGGCCUCAACUUUUUAUCUCAGGCUGAACUCUUCUUGGCCGUCGCUCGCCCAGGCAGCAGCUGUGGUCUCUACGUGACUGCAUGCAGUGAUCCAGCCAUGAGGCACUGGGGCUGCUCCUGCUGGGGCCCCUGUGGAGGAGGCUUGCUGGAGGCCAGCUGGGAGGGGAGUUUAGGAAGGAAACGGGUCUGAGUUCCAAAGCUUGAGGUUCCAGUCUCCAGAAUAUGAGAGCAUCCCUGGAGUAGCAGAAGCCCAGCUCGCUGUGUCGGUCCUGAAAAGUUGAGUGCUGGAACUGCCAGAUGGCUUCAGAAACUUGGGAUUCUGUACUUGGGAAGUGCCAACCUUUCUGGAGGUGGCUGUGCUUUGGGGUGAGCAGUUGAGGAAAUAAAAGAGGCCAGGGCCAACACCCUGCAGAAAACUGCUAGGCCAGCACUGCAAGAGGCUAGACAACCCCCAGGCCAAGUGCAUCCUUGCUGGGGAGAGAAUUUGCAGGGAGGAAGCGUGUCAUUAAUUGGACGGGGCUCCUUCUGUCUCCUACUUGUGGGGACAGCCAGAUGUUUUUCCACAUUGAAGGCUCGUCCACUAAAGACCCAGGCGAGCCUGCGUGUGUCCUGCUGUCUCUUAGUGGGGUAGUUUUCUUGGUGGCUCUGUGUAGAAUGGAAGUGGGGAGUUUCCUGGGGGUGGGCAUAUGGUGUACACACGUGCUCAGCAGUGUUUGUGGGAAGGGUGCACGGGGGAUGUCACGCCUGGCGAGGAGGAAGAGCCACUGGGUCACUCCUGUGUCCCUCUCUGACGCAUUCUUAGGUAGUCUCAUGAAGAGAACCGAAAGUCCAUCUUUCUUGCCAGAGUCUUGCUGCUCAAAUCCCUCAACUAAGGGAGAAAAAUCCAAUAAACUUGAAAAGCCUCCCCAUCCUGGAGUGUCGGGGAUUAGUGGUCAUGCUCGACUUCGAAUUAUCCAAGGUGCAGAUCCAGAGCUGAGCUGGCUGGGUGCAAGCAGGGUCCUUCUGCUUACUAGCUGUGAGGCCCCCAGCACUUCACCCCCUCCCCUUGCUGGACCUUAGUUUUCCUAUUUGGAAAAGGAGGUGCCGACACCCUGAACCUGCAGCUCCCUGGAUCAGGUGGAGCUUUGGACGUUGGUGGGUGUGUGGCCAGCGCUCCUCUGUGGGACCUGGGCUGAGGCUGUCCACACGAUGUUCUUUUUGUCUUCCAGGGGAGCUGGUACUGGACUGGCAUUCGAGGGCAGGAAUCCCCGGGGAGACUUGGAUUUGUUAUAGAAACCCACCCUUCAACUUGGCCAGCCCGUUUCAAAAUAGGGAGUUGACCCAAUAGCUUUGGUGAAUGCUCGUAGUUUAGACAGUGGGAGAGGCAGGAGAAGGCACUCCAGAGACAGCCUCCACAGAGGCUUCCGGGGCAGAGUCGGGGCAGAGUGGGGACAGGCGCCUUCCCUGGGGCCAGUGAUGACACAGUUAGAGAAUUUAAAGAUGAGAAAAACCAACCAGCCUCGGAGACUACUGUUUAUCAUCGCCAUGCAACAAGGGGUUAGUAUCUGUGAGAGGAUUUCCCUCUCCAUGAAAAAGAAUUUGUUCUAAGUUCUAAACAAUUGAUACAGUUACUGUUGAGCUGCUGAGUUUUAAGAAAAUAAAUGAGCUCUGUGGUGCCUUUUGAUUACUUACUUAUCCUUCAGGAGAAGUUGCAUUCUCUGUGGAAAACAGCUGGCCCCCAGUCCGUGCUUGCUCAGUGACAUGGCUCAUUUUGAGAGUAAAUUCAUAAUAGACUGGAACUUUCUCUCCUCACUUUAUAGAUAGUUCAUCUGUCCACCUUCUCAAUACAACAUAUUCUUUUUUUUUAAAGUGGGUGUAUCAAAAUUGAACGGAAUAUUAUGCAGUUAUCAACAAUAAGAAGUUGGAUCAGUGUAUGAUCUAAUAGAGGACAUAUCAUACAAUGUCCAACAUGCAGUGUUCAAGUAAGUAAGCAAGUUGCAGAACACUUAAAAUAUUUUAAAAGGUAGCAUUUACAUGUACUUACAUGUGUGUACACACAUGAAAUUUGUACAUGAGAAGAAUCUCUCAAAGGACAGAUAAACAAUUUUGCAGACUUAAAAGGAGAAUGAUAGCACAGAAAUGCAAAGACAAAGACCCAAACCACUUCAAUUCUCUCAUUCUGUCACUGCUUGGGGAUUUUGUUUAUGUUAAAAAUUUAACACAGUGAAACAGAGUAUGAAUCAGGAGUGCAGCAUUUUCGUCUGGUAAAUGCAAAUUUUGGUUCAUAUAUUAUUUUAUUGAUAUUUUUAAACACUGGCAUCUUUCUUUCUAAAUUGUUUAUUUGAAAGAUAAAGAACGUAUGUAGGGGGUGAUGACUAUUUCUGGUUAUCGAGUGGCUCCUAGGUGAGUCAUUUCUGCACAGGGGUGCGUGCCAUGGUCUGCUCCGGUGUCCAUACACUGCGCCGCUCACCUCUAAUCAAAAUUUGAAAAUGCUCUGGGGCAUUAUUAUCCCCACAAGAUUUGCCUGGAGGAAUGAUAUGACCAACACUGGCAAAUCCAUGGCAAAUCCAUUCUAGAAGGUUUUGAGUGAUUUCAGGAGCAUCCACUUUAUUCCUUCCACCAGGGACAUAUUGUUCUUUUUUCUCACCAUAGGAAACUCCCUAUUUCCUGACCCUGAAAUUCCUGGAAAAAACCUCUCUUAUUCUAGAGUUGAGAGACUGAAUAUGCCGAUGUGGUAGUGGCAGUUUCUUGGGAUGCAGGGGUCUCAGCUAAAGGAGCAAGGCACCCGCUGGGGAAAGUGUGGAGAGGGAGGACAGCGGCUCGCCCCCUCCUCCUAAGGACCCGUGCCCCUUGGGUCCUGGGGGCUGCUCCCACGCAGGCCUGCCUCCCUUUCCUGGUGAGUCUUGCGCCCUAAUCUACCAGGACGGCCUCUCCCCAAUGCUUCCUGGGGCUCUGUUAUUGGAGGGGUCUUCUGGCAGCAGAGCUCCCCCGCACAGCCUGGUGCAGGCACUUAGUGUGCUGAGUAGUCAGUGCACUGUGGCCCUGGCUGGGCAGGAGCCUGCGGCAGUCUGGGUCCAGAAUUGGCUCCUAGGGACAAAGACAAGACUGUAUCUGGCCAUUUGGGAGGAAUGGAUGUUUUAUAUGCGGACAAGAAGGUGGUUGGAACUCUCUCCUUUCCUGGUGACGAAGCUGUGUCGCCUCUUGGCUUUCUUGCUACAAAGGACUCGCAGCUGUUGUGGCGCUGUCCACGGGCCUUCUCUUGCACGGCAAGGCUCAGUGGCCUCAGCGUGUCUAGGAGGCCUAGGAAGACUGGCCUGUUUCCAGAGACACAUGCUUUUGCUGGGGGUGGGGGUGGCAGUUUGCAGCAGUUGGCAGAUGUGACCCUGGUGACAUCCAAGCUAGUAAGGUCUGCUGGGGGUCAUGGCUGUUGGUGAAACUGUCCAGGCCUCUUCUGCUGGGGCUUUGCGUCCUCUUCCCAAGUGUGAGAAGGCAGUCCCAGCAGGAAGUGUGGGGUUGACCAGGGACUUUAACAAAUGUUGACGGAUGGCUUUUGUGUCAUUGCAUGGGGCAUGCAGGCCAGUGAGGAAAGUCCCUGCCAGGCCCCAAGACCCUGUGAAUAAAAGCUGAAGGUGCUUCGAAGUUUCUAAAGUUGGUUAUUUGAAGAAAAAUGUGCAGCAGGGUCUUCUGUGUUUGUAGGGUGAGAGGAUCGAUUCUUUCUACACCACAGAGCCUGCCUGUAGCACCUGCCUCUAAAGUUUGCACACGGGAACAUGAAUCAAGCCUACAAGCAGUUAAAUAAAAUAUGCUCUGUUCUCAUAUUUUACAAAUCUAGGGGUUGGGGCUGGGGUUCAGUGACAGAGAACUUGCCUAGGAUGUGUGAGGUGCUGGGUUUGAUCCUCAGCACCACAUAAAAAUAAACAAACAAAAUAAAGCUAAAAAAAUAUCUAUAGUCACAUAUUUUUUUCAUAUAUUUCAAGACAAAACUGAAAAAUGUGUAAAGCUGUAGUUUUUUACAUGACCCAAAGCGGGCAGAUAUCAAAGAUGACUGAAUUAAUUAUUAAAUGUCCUUUUGUUCUAUUUGAAUGAUGAACAAGAUAAAGAUACACAUAAUUUAUAAUUACUCUAUAGUUCUCUAAAUUAAUUUUUUGCCUUCAUUUCAUCACAACCACAAAUCCUGUCAUUAAAAAUGAACAUUUUCACAUAAUUUUGUUCUAUUUAUAACAAUGAGCUAAGGGAUUUUUUUAAAAAAAUGUUAAUGUAUUUGAAAUAUGCACAAUUUAAAUAUAUUUUUAUCACAAAUGUGAAAGUAUAUGUAAAAACAUAAAAAAUGUAUUUUCUCAUAUAUAUUUUCAAAGAGAGUUAUUUUUUUCUUAUAAAACAUUAAAACUGGAAAGGCAAAAGUACAAAUUAGCAUUAAUAAAUGUCAAAAAGGUAGAUGAAAAUUAUUUAAAUAAAACUGGAUUUUAAAUGUUAAUUUAUGAAAAGUAAAUGAGAUCUUAUUAAAUAUCCUUGUAAAUAAUACCUCCCAAUUCUAGCAUUCGGUUCCCACCCAGCCACUGACAUAAAUUGGCAUCGCCCAAUGUCUUGCCCUUGGACCUACAUGGCUACCAGUUCAGAAAUCAUGGGAACCGUGGAAGUCUGCUCCACACUCCUCAUGGCCACGCCACCUGUGAUUGUCACGACGCCGUGUGACUUCCCGCAUCUCCAGGAGCAGUUAGAGCAGCAGCUCUCCUGGAUGGUUGAGUUAUGCAAGUGUCACUUGCUCCUCCUUCCUGCCACCCAGUGAGAAGGCCAAGGGCUCCUGUCUUUCCUCCUCCCUGUGUUGGGUUAGCUGCUCAAGUCCCCUCCCCUCCUGGGCCACCGUCCCGGGGGACAUCAACAGUCCUAGUAUGACCUGCAGAACUCUGGGGCACUUGGAGGCAGUGAGGCUUUCUUUUUCAUUCCAAGACCAGGCACAAAAUGUGGAGAUGGAUGGGAGACGCGUUUCCUGGGGCCUGAGUGGCCAUGGUUAUGGGGGUGGAUGUUUAGGGUUAAGAAUGCCCAGAGCCCUGGACCCCAGGCGACAGAGGGGCCGUGUGAAGUGGUCUGAACCUCGGGACUCAGGUCAGGUGUCCCUUGGCAGAGUCUUCUGGGCGUACUGACCACUCAUCCCGGGUACUGGGGUGACUCUUCUUGCCUUCUGGUGUGACUUACCUGGCUCUGCAGGGCUCGGUUUCUGGAUCAGCCAUCCUCUAUGGAAGAAGGAAAUUUCUGAGAGUCCCAGCUGCCCGGGGGCUCGUUCCAGCCCUGGCCAGUCUUGGGGUGGUGCAGCAUUGGAGCUGAAGCAAAGGUUGUGUGGACCUUGCUCUUCUAGUAGGGUCCUUCUCCUGAAGAUGUGGGAAGUCACAUGGCGUCGCAGCAAUCACAGGUGGCCGUGAGGAGUGUGGAGUGGCUUCCCAUGGUUUCUAUGAUUUCUGAACUGGUAGCCGAGUAGGUCCAAGGGCAAGACGUUGGGCGAUGCCAAUUUAUUCUAAUGCUAGAAUCGGGAGGUAUUGUUUACAAGGAUAUUUAUUAAAAUCUCAUUUACUUUUCAUAAAUUUAUAUUUAAAAUCCAGUUUUAUUUAAAUAAUUUUCAUUUACACUUUUGACAUUUAUUAAUUUCAAUCAAUGGCCAGUCUCGGAGUGGUUGCAGCACUGGACCUGAACAAAGGUUGUGUGGUCACCUGGGAGAAGUGGGUGCUCUGUGGUGGCAGGAGCUAUGGGGUGGGCCUUAUGUGUCUGUGCACUCCUCUCAGAGGCUGCUGCCCAGGUACUGUCUCAAAGCUGGACUUGAUCCUUGGUGGGUCUGAGCCUCAUCUGGCCCUCACUCCUGUGUCCCUGACUUCUCUUCCUAUUUCUGUGUCUUUCCCUCAGAUCCUGAGCUCCAUCAUGGUCUACUGCCUGGCAACUUCAACCGUAUCCCUGAUUCUCUCCUUGCUGGCCAGCUUUGCCCCAGUGGCUCCCCUCCUGCAAAUAGGGCAAAAGGCAUGGAGAUGAGACCAGAGUGUCCGGCUCUGGGGGUUUGAUGGACCGAGACAGACAAGUGAGCGUACAAGCAAACAUUUUGAAAACGAGCGCAUGAGUCAAUGGUCAGGACUGGUGCACGUUGAUUGGGGUGGAUGUAACUGAAGGGUCACUAGUAGGAUUUCCACAGCCAGCUGGCUCAGGGCCUCUCUGGUCACCCUGGGAAAGCCUUACUUUUUGAAAGGUUCCAGUCCUCUCUCAGUGAAAACACACGGGUGUGACAACACCCAUGGUUCCCUGACCUCCACAGACUGAGGUCUGAGCCCAUUGAAAUCAGGUGUCUGAAGUCACGCAGAAUGGCUUUCAGUGGUGCUGUGAGCCGACCGUUUCAGGGUACUCCUUCCUCCGAUUUCACAGAUGUGUCGGUUGGAUUUUAUUCUUAAGUGGCCUAAGCCAAAAGCAUCUUCUCCCAGAAACAGCAGGUUCAUUUCAAUUCAAUAUUUCACUUUGGACAACUGCUUGCCUUCAUUUAGCGCCGCAUGCUGGGACUUGGUCUCCCCGGGCGUUCUGGCUUCCCUCCCGUUAGCGACGGUGGCAGCAGUGCAGACAGAUUGAGGCCCCAGGAAGGCGGACCCCCCAACUGCGCGGCAGCAGUGAGCUGGGAGCAGAGGCUGUGCACGCUAAUGGUUGUGAGUGCUGCUUUUCCAGCCAUGAGCUGUCUAUAUCGCAUUUGCGUGGAGACACAAAACAUCUAACUAUCAGACGAAGCCAGACGCAACACCCAGCACAGAGAGGACAGCGUCUUCUCCAGCUGUGUCUGGUGCCCGGGGUCACCGAGGGGAAAAAUGACAAUGCCUUGUGUGCUGGGUGGUGGGUGGCUACAGGAUUUAGAGAAGUCUCUCUCACUACCCCAGGCAAAAAACCUUCGUUGUCCUCUGCCUGGGUAGAUUACUCCUGCAGACACUGGUCUGAGUCUAGGCUGAGCCCAGUCUGCCCUGCAGGGCUUCUCUGGUACUGGGGGUUGCAAAUGUGGAAUUCUGGGGGCAGCUCUCCAGGCCCAUGUGGAAAGAAGUGCUGAGACAGAACACAGAGGGCCCUGGAGGCCCGGGGCUGCAGCGCAGGGCUGGCCUCCGGCUUUUGUAGGUGAGGAGGGCCAUCCUCCUGCAGCACAGGUGUGCAGUGGUCUUGGGGCCGGGCAGGUGGGCUUGUUUGCUCUGCUGCUUCCUGUGGACAGUGUCCAUGGCUCUGGGAGGCUCUCUGCCAUCACAGGUCAGGUUGAGCGGCUUCCAGCUCAGGGUAUCUGGGUGUACGUGCCUCCUGAAAAGCCUUCUCUCCCUGGACUGGGAGCAGCUUCUUCUGCCCAGCAAAGGAAGUAGGUGAGAGGGAGGAAGACCCCUAUGUGUGGCUGGUGGCAGUGGCUCAGAGCCACAUGGGGCAGGGGAGACCCUGCUCUUACUGAUCUCCUCCUUGGAGGGAAGGUAUUAGGGCAUCAAGAACAUUCUUGCUGCUCAGACAGAGUCCUCUGGAGAAGGCGGCCCAGGUGGGUUAGGGUUAGGCACUUCUGUACUCUGGAGAUGGGAGCCUCGUCUGUGAUAGUUCUGACUAGGCUGCCUGUCACAUCUGCACAAUGGGAAGCUGGGCCAGAGGGUUUUACGGUCCACACUGAACUUGAGGUUCUGGGAGGGCAGUCAGAGUUUAGUUACAAUCUUUGUUUUCCAGGAGACCCAAGUUCAAGUCCCAUUCCCCAGUUUCUUGUUGCUGUGCAGCCUAGGACAAGCCACUCCCCUCUCUGUACUGUCCUCCCAGCACAGGUGGUUGGUAUGAGGAGCAGUCUGGCUCACAGGGCUUGUCCUGGACAGUGGUUUCUUUCCCUACAUCUCCUUUGAGUUGGCAGAGGCCCACAGACAACCAACCCCAUCUCCGGAGCAUAGACCUUGUCUACCGCAUAGCCAAGUUUCCCAUGCACUCCAGAUUUGAGGACGGCCAGCUGCCGUGUAAUUCAAAUGAGAGCCCUGUUGCCCUUUGAGGACAAGCCUCAUGUAAGGUCCACCUGUCACCUGAGUCUCUGUGGCCCAGCUCAGUGCAUGGCCUCUGCUAGUGCUGAGACACCAGAUGCCUAUAGCCUCAUGUCUGCCCUGCAAGGGGUGCUAGCCUAUCCAGGGGCCACGGGGCUGGGUUUUCGACCAGCUCAUGUGGUGCUGGCUUGUCUGCAUGUGUCAGUGCUGAAGCCCUGUGAAGAACCCUCUCCUGCCCCUUCGAUGCCUGCCCCAGUCUCCAGAUAAGAUGGGAAGGGAAGUGGAUGAGGGACUCCAUUCAGCCUGACCUCAGUUAACAUUUCAGCUCUGCCAGGCAUCAGCUGUGCAUCACAAGAGAGGUCACUGAGCUCCUGAGUCCCAGCUUCUGGUCUGUAAAAGCGGGUGCUGAUUCCCUUGGCAGGAGGGGUGUGAACAGCAAAGGCUGCCAAGUCUCUGCACAUGGGAGGCAUCGGCAGAAACAUUUCUGUUGUUCAGAGCAAGGUACUUGUGCCCUGGACCAGCGUCAUCAGCAUCACCUGGGAACUUGUGAGCAAGGGAAUUGUCAGACCCUCUCCCCAUGUGCUGAGUUGGAACCAAAGAGAUGGGGUGACGCCAUGGAUCUGACUGUUCACAGCCCUGCAAGUUCUACAGCAUGGUAAGGCCAGAGACCUCGGACUUGGAGAUAUGUUGCAAACUUCUUCUUCCAUGGUAUUUCCUUGCCUGGUUCUGCUUCCUUCCUCCGAAUGGGACUUGGGAGAGUCUCCGAACUUGGGAGGGCAGUGAGUCUGGGCUGGAUCUGUCAGCUGGGCUUGGAUAAUGUUUGCUGGAUUGGAGGCAAGAGAAAGGGCAGUAGGACCCUUGGGUCCUGUCCUCCUCUGGGUGCAGACAAGGGCCUCUUAUCUGUGCCUGUCUGGGAGGGCUGCCCCUCCUCAUUCCCUGGACAGGAGUGUGCGGCUCCUGUGCAGUCUGUCUCCCCCUGCUGCCUGUCACCUGGGCACACUAAGGAGACACGAUUGUGGAGGCAUGCAGUGGGUGCUUGAACCCUUUGUGGGACAUGAGAGGAUGGGCACUCUGUAGAGUACUACAGAGCACUUCUGGGAGAAGCACAAGGGGACAGAGAGUGGUGAUUCAGAUGCAGGCCCAGCCUGGGGGCACUUGAGCUGUAGCCAUCCCAGGUGUCCAUCAAUUCCACAUGUGGGCAGCAAGCCAGGUGCUUUGAAUGCAGAGUUAAUAAUUAGGUAAAAUCAAACGGUCUAUUCUUGAAUACGAAACAGAGCAGCAUAAUGAACUUGUAAAACCUUUUAGAUUCUUUUCAGCAUGGUGACAAGUUUUUUUAAGUUGUUUUGAAGCUUCUUUUCUCGUGUGGUUUUUAUUAUGGUAAAAUAUACAUAACAUAAAAUUUACCCUUUUAACUAUUUUUACGUACAUAGGUCUGGGACAUUAAGCACACUCAUGUAGUUCUGCAAACGUCACCACCAUCCGUCUCCGGAACUUUUCCAUCUUCCCAAAAUGAAAUUCGGUCCCCAUUAAACACUAGCUCCUGUCCUUCCCUCUCCUUGGCCCCUGACGGCCACUUAUUCCAUUAAAGCCCUGACUGAGAUAAAAGGAGGUGGUGGGAGGUUCUAAGAAACCCCUCCUUCAAGAGUAUACUUAAGAACCCAGUUUUCUUGAGGCAGGACCUCUGCUUGACCUCCAGACGUGAGCACAGCACAGAGGUAUAGACGUAGGCGGGAACGUUGGGCCCCUUUGGAAUAGUUGCACAUGCUUUAUUUUGCCCUUGAUGAAAAGAGCCGUGUUAAGUUUAUAAAAGAGCACUUGCAGAAGAAGAAAGCCUUGGACCCAGCCAUGGCCUUCCUGAGUUGUUGACAGCUGUUAUUCACUGAAAACCUCCCUGGAAACAAAGAGAUAUUGCAGCAUUGUUCAGCGUGGGUGUUUGAAGUGGCCUCCUUCCAGAGCUCUGCUGAUGGAGGGGCCGGGUCUGGGCCAGGGCCUCGUGCCUCCUGCUUUCUUCCUAUAGCUGCUGCAGCUUCGAAGGAGCCUGGGAGUGUCCUGAAGCAGUCCAACUUGCAGGCAGUCCUUUCUUCCACGUGCCUGUGACUUCCUGAUGCUCUACUACUCCCUUCACAGGGCUGUGCUGCUUUGGCAGAGAAGCAAAGAUGACAGGCACCUUCAGGACCCCUGCUUGUCGAUGUCCCUGGGAUAUCACCUGAGUGCUAGGGUAGGAAGAAUCUGGGGCACUUAAGAAAAACUGAAAGUGGCCAUUUUUUUCCCCAGGAAGGGAGGUACCCACGUCCACAUCCUGCAUCUUCCUCUUUGUGAAAUCCAUGCUGCGGGCCGGCCCUGGAUGCUGUCUGCAGGCCUGUCCCCGCUGGGUGCUGACAGCGUGGGCCCCUGUGCCUUGCUGAGUCAUCUCGGGCUCACUUUUCCCACCAGUGCAACGGGGUUAAUGACGCCUGCCCCGGCUGGGGACUCAAACGAGAAAACCUAGGUGAAAGUGACUUGAAACUCAGAAAGUGCCUUCCACGUGGCCUGUGGUGGCCUUGUGGCGGGCAUCCCUCUGGGGGAGACCUGCGGAGCGGGUUUGGCAGGGCCUCCGGAUGGGGUCUCUGGGGGGGGGAGCCCCUCCAUCCCCCGGCUCACUCACCUCCAUCCCCCCCCACUCACCUCCCACGGGUAUGAUCAUUUCCUACGUGGGCCCUGACAAUGGAGGGGAAGCCCUUUGGAGAGGUCCGUCCGGGUAAGAGCAGGUGAGGCAGGUCCUGGACAGGGCUCCCAACUCACCCUGUGCUGUCACUGGCUUGGUGACACUUCCUCUGGGAGUUCUCCCAGGGGCAGACCACCUGUGCUGGGAGUGCUGGUUGAGCUGUCUCCCUGUAGACAUCUACCUUUAGCCCAGGUCCUGGAACAUGGGAGGUCUUCAACUAGCAGUGAGCACCCUAACAAAUAUCAUCAUGGAACAUCAGUCAUCGUACCUAUUUAUAAUUAUUUACUUCUUUAAGAUUAGUUGAAGAAUAAGUUUUGGGGAGGAAAAAAAAACAUGCCGCAAAAGUAGCAUCAUCAACAGUCUGGUUUCUCAACGUGCCACUGGUAGCUGGGUGGGCCCAGAGCCUGGUAGAAACACUGGUUCAGACCUGAUCCAGACUGGCUGAGUCAGCAUUUACUUUUCGGGUGUCUUCAGGGCCCUUGCAGAUGAGGGAGAGAAGCUCGUGCAGGAUCACCUUCCCAGACCUGGGAGCAGCGGAGCUUGUGGAUUCUCACCUCUGGGGAGACUCCCAGCCACAAAGCCAGGGAUUUCCCAGCUCUGGUGGGGGGGUGCUGCCAAAAGGGGACACACAUGCUCACGGCUCUGGGGGUGGCUAGGGACCCCUCCUUCACUCCUGCAGCGUGUAGGCCAGUGGCCUAGGAGGAGUGAGAACAACCCGCUGCCUUGGCUUUCUCUGGCCCCCUUGUCCUCGAGGGACCCUGGCUGACUAACACCUUUGCCCUGCCCAGGCGGAGAUUUUGGUGCCCCAUACAGGGAGAUGUGCUAAGAGGUGACUUUGGCCUCAAUUAGUCCCAGGCUCCAGAUAAGAGGAUUCCAGAUCCUUACCCAUGCAGGCGACUGCAGCCCUCCUAGUCUCCCUUAGACGUACCUGCCUUCUCUCCUGCUCCUGGGAACAGCCCUUGCACUCCAGUCUUGGGUGGAUUGUGAUUCUGCACUAUUAUUUUACCAUGAGCUGAGGUCGGGAGAAGACUACUAUUCCAAGUCUGGGCCCAGCUAGCCAUUUAUUCCAUCAGUCCUUUUUGAGCACCUACUGUGUGCCAGGUGCUCAGCUGGGCACUGAAGACACAGCAGUCACCACCCUGGCCCUCAUUCUCCAGGAAGACACUGGCAAAUGAUGGUUAAGAAGCCAAAAUCAGCAUUUUGCUCAUCAGCUGCGUGACCUCUGGAACCUCUCAGGGUCUCGAUUUCUUCAGAUUUAAAAUGGCAAUGGACAGGUGGUUUCCCUGAGAGGGUUUCUGUGAGGAGGAAGUGCGUUAAUGCACAGUGCCUGGCGAUACUUAUGCAGACAGGAAGGGGGCUGCUCAGGGACCAAGUGCUAAGUGUGAGCAACCCUCUGGGUCUCCUGCUAUAUUCUAAAACCCAUUUGAAUGCUGGCAGACUGUCCUUCAGCUGUCCUUUGGCACUCAGGGCCUGAGACCCCAGCUUCCCAUCUGCUCAGAGGGGAAUUUAGUCUCCUCCUCAGGUGGGAGUGAAGACUGACCGAGCCAUGUAGACAGGUGUGUGGUGGUGCUCAGAUCAGGGGUCCUGUCCUCCUCAGCUCUUGGGGAGGAUCUCCAUGUCUGAACUGGUUUCUCUAAUCCUUGAUUUAUUGCCGUGACGGUGUUUGUUCUUUGUGAGUCCUUCUGCUUCAGCUUUGUGAUGAAUAAAUCCUUGAUCACAGUCAAUUCCUCAAACAGAGCGACCUUGGGGCUGAAUUCUUUGAACCUGUGUUUGGUUAUGUCACCAAACUGAACAAUGGGGUUUACAGCUGUCCUUCUCUGGACAAGGACAUUUGACCAACUGUUUUUGCAGCAGGAUUUGAGGAGGGUGAGGAGCAUGUGAUUCCAUGUUUAAAUAAGCCUAUCUACACAAGGGGAGGAAGGGAGCCCUCUACAUAGAGGGCAGUGGCACCCACCAUCCCCAGGAGACCCAAGGAGAGACCCUGCCUGGGCAGAGGCCCAGAUGCCACUGGCUAUCCUGUGAGCAGGAGGCUGCUCUGGAGCCUUGGACUGCAAGGUUCCCGGGGUCCUUAAGUCAUGCCACAUGGUACCCUUCUGAGGCUCAAAUCCCCCUCGAGUCCACUCAGCUGCCGCAGAGGCUGUGUCUGGAUGCUUCUGAGGGCAAAGCUGUGGCCUGACCGUGUCCCUCCAGAAGUUCACAUGUUGGAAACGAAUCCCACGUUCACAUGAGAGGACAUUUGGAGCUGGGGCCUUUGUGGGUAAGGGAACCCCACCAUGGCACUGCUGGAUUUGCCAGAAGAGGAGAGGGCCCAGGCUGGAUCGCUUGCCCUGUCCCCCAAUGAGAGGGGCAAGGAGGUCCCCUAGAUUCCAGCCCCUCACCCAGGGCUUCCACCCCCCAAAGCCGUGAGAAAUGUUUCUUCUCUUCAGAAACUACCCAGUCGGUGGGAUUCCACUGAGCCGCAAAGAGUACGCGAGACAGACACACAGCCUCCUGCCACAGCUGGGGUUGAUCUACUCUUGAUUUUUUUUCCCAUGGAUUUUUUUCAAGG